Molecule: ribosomal RNA, 455 nt
Filed under: uncultured bacterium
Lineage: Bacteria
Description: bacterial SSU rRNA
Rfam family: Bacterial small subunit ribosomal RNA
Source: RNAcentral
UACGGGAGGCAGCAGUGGGAAUAUUGCACAAUGGGCGAAAGCCUGAUGCAGCUAUGCCGCGUGUAUGAAGAAGGCCUUAGGGUUGUAAAGUACUUUCAUCGGGGAGGAAAAAACAAAACUAAUAAUUUUAUUUCUUGACGUUACCCGAAAAAGAAGCACCGGCUAACUCCGUGCCAGCAGCCGCGGUAAUACGGAGGGUGCUAGCGUUAAUCAGAAUUACUGGGCGUAAAGAGCACGUAGGUGGUUUUUUUAAGUCAGAUGUGAAAUCCCUGGGCUUAACCUAGGAACUGCAUUUUGAAACUGAAAUACUAGAGUAUCGUAGAGGGAGGUAGAAUUCUAGGUGUAGCGGUGAAAUGCGUAGAUAUCUGGAGGAAUACCUGUGGCGAAAGCGGCCUCUUAAACGAAUACUGACACUGAGGUGCGAAAGCGUGGGGAGCAAACAGGGAUUAGAUACC